UAAUCAAGACAUUUAUGAAAUCAGCUACUCUAUGAAAUAUUUGAGAGAAUUUUGAAUUGAUGAACAAACAUGGGUUUUAGUUAUGUGGAAGAAUCCUGUGAAGAUUUGGUUAAAAAUAUCUCCUCUUCAGUGAAAUGUGCUGUCAAAAGAAGAUCAGGACUUCACAAUGUGAAUGCUUAAUAGCUGACUGGAAUUAAGUUGUUAGAAAUUUUUUUUGACUUGGUGGGUAAGUGACAGCUUUCAGAAAAUAUUUUAAGUCUUUUGGGAAUAUAUGAUAUUUUAAUUCUUUUUCAAAACAUUCUGUUCAAUUAGGUCAAGAAUAACUCAACAAAAGAUCACUAACAUUUUAAGAUACUGUUGCAUUAUUUAAUAAAUAAUAGGAGUCAGAUAAAUUGAGAUACAAUAAUUUAUUGUUGCAUAAUUUGCUAAUGUUACUGCAAAAUACUGAAGUUCUAACCAUAUUUAGUUAGAAGCAAAAUCUAUUGAGUUCAGUAGAGCAUAUACCUGUAGAGUUGCAAUUUUUAAGACAGAAAGUGGAUCAGUCUAAUCAAGUUACUUGCAUGGAUUUGAGAACAGUUAAGUGUUGUCCCAAUUUAUUUCCAGGAAAAGUAAGGCUAUCAAUACAGUCCUAUGCAGGUUUAUUUAAGAAACAAGUUCAACCAAUUGUGAAUGGGAAUGUAGUUUUUCUCUUACUUUCAGAAUAGGCACUUACCUGGAUUUUGAAAUUUGGAUAUAACUAGGACUUUUGGUUAUGUAGUUUGUAUUCAAGGAAUAGUUUUGUAUGCAACAAUGUUCUAUGUACUUCAGUGAAAAAGCAUAAUAAAUGCCUUUCAAAUGAA
Molecule: non-coding RNA, 839 nt
Organism: Pantherophis guttatus
Lineage: Eukaryota; Metazoa; Chordata; Lepidosauria; Squamata; Colubridae
Source: RefSeq, a predicted model, not a curated record